UACGAAGGGUGCAAGCGUUGUCCGGAAUUAUUGGGCGUAAAGAGCGUGUAGGCGGCCCGACCAGUCCGCUGUGAAAGUCCAGGGCUCAACCCUGGAAUGCCGGUGGAUACUGUCGGGCUAGAGUCCGGAAUGGGCGAGUGGAAUUCCUGGUGUAGCGGUGAAAUGCGCAGAUAUCAGGAGGAACACCAAUGGCGAAGGCAGCUCGCUGGGACGUGACUGACGCUGAGACGCGAAAGCGUGGGGAGCAAACAGG
This 253-nucleotide ribosomal RNA is filed under the name uncultured bacterium. RNAcentral describes it as "partial 16S ribosomal RNA". It matches the Rfam family "Bacterial small subunit ribosomal RNA", at positions 524 to 776 of the family's 1533-position model. The record is from RNAcentral.